UACGAAGGGGGCUAGCGUUGCUCGGAAUCACUGGGCGUAAAGGGUGCGUAGGCGGAUUUUUAAGUCAGGGGUGAAAUCCCGAGGCUCAACCUCGGAACUGCCUUUGAUACUGGAGAUCUUGAGUCCGGAAGAGGUAAGUGGAACUGCGAGUGUAGAGGUGAAAUUCGUAGAUAUUCGCAAGAACACCAGUGGCGAAGGCGGCUUACUGGUCCGGAACUGACGCUGAGGUGCGAAAGCGUGGGGAGCAAACAGG
This 253-nucleotide ribosomal RNA is filed under the name uncultured bacterium. RNAcentral describes it as "partial 16S ribosomal RNA". It matches the Rfam family "Bacterial small subunit ribosomal RNA", at positions 524 to 776 of the family's 1533-position model. The record is from RNAcentral.